GGCUAUCUCCGCCCAGCUCCCAAGUCGGGCGGCUCACGUGAGCGCUCACGUGCCCGGCGGGGGAGGAGGGUUGUUUCCGGAAGUGCUCGGCGCGGGCAGAGCCGGGUUUCGGGCGCUGCGGAGCGGGGCUCCGGCCGGGCUGGGGCGGGCUGCGGGGAUGGAGAUCAUCAGGAGCAAUUUUAAGGAUAACCUAAAUAAAGUGUAUGAAGCCAUCGAGGAAGCAGACUUUUUGGCUAUUGAUGGCGAAUUUUCAGGAAUCAGUGAUGGGCCAUCUGUUAGCACAUUAACCAAUGGUUUUGACACACCAGAAGAAAGGUAUCAAAAACUUAAAAAGCAUUCCAUGGAUUUCUUGCUUUUUCAGUUUGGCCUUUGUAGUUUUAAAUAUGACCACACAGAAGCUAAAUACAUAAUGAAAUCAUUUAACUUCUAUAUUUUUCCAAAACCCUUCAACAGAAGUUCACCAGAUGUCAAGUUUGUCUGUCAGAGUUCAAGUAUAGACUUUUUAGCAAACCAAGGAUUUGAUUUUAAUAAAGUUUUUCGCAAUGGAAUCCCAUAUUUAAAUCAGGAUGAGGAAAGACAAUUACGGGAGCAGUAUGAUGAAAAACGUUCUCAGGCAAAUGGUGCGGCGACCCUAUCGUACAUUUCCCCUAAUGCCACAAAGUGUCCUGCGACUAUUCCUGAGGAUCAGAAAAAAUUCAUUGAAAGAGUGGUGGAGCAAAUAGAAGAUUUAAUACAGAAUGAAGAAAACAAGAAUUUGCAGUUGGAGCCAUGCACAGGAUUUCAGAGGAAACUAAUUUAUCAGACUUUGAGCUGGAAGUACCCAAAAGGUAUCCAUGUUGAAACUCUGGAGACAGAGAAGAAGGAAAGAUACAUUGUCAUUAGCAAGGUAGAUGAAGAAGAGCGCAAAAGAAGAGAACAGCAGAAACAAGCAAAAGAACAGGAGGAGCUCAGUGAUGCAGUGGGAUUUUCCAGAGUUAUUCAUGCCAUUGCUAAUUCUAAAGGACAUAGCUCUUGUUUUGGCUGUAACAACAAGGGCAAACUUGUUGUUGGACACAACAUGCUACUGGAUGUCAUGCACACUAUCCACCAGUUUUACUGUCCCCUGCCUGAAGACCUAAGCGAGUUUAAGGAGUUAGCGGCAUGUGUCUUUCCCAGACUAUUGGAUACUAAACUGAUGGCAAGUACGCAGCCUUUUAAGGAAAUUAUUAACAACACAUCCCUUGCAGAACUGGAAAAGCGUUUAAAAGAGAUUCCAUUCAACCCUCCUGAAGUUGAAAGUGCAGAAGGGUUUCCAAGUUAUGACACAGCUUCUGAACAACUUCAUGAAGCAGGCUAUGAUGCUUACAUAACAGGACUGUGUUUCAUCUCCAUGGCUAACUACCUAGGUUCAUUUCUCAGUCCUCCGAAAAAUCAUGUAUCUGCUAGAUCAAAACUCAUUGAACCCUUUUUUAACAAGUUAUUUCUUAUGAGGGUAAUGGACAUACCAUAUCUCAAUUUGGAAGGACCAGACUUGCAGCCAAAACGAGACCAUGUUCUUCAUGUUACAUUUCCCAAAGAGUGGAAGACUAGUGAUCUUUACCAGCUUUUCAGUGCCUUUGGUAAUAUUCAGGUAUCUUGGAUUGAUGAUACAUCAGCAUUUGUGUCACUUAGCCAGCCAGAACAAGUACAAAUAGCUGUAAACACCAGCAGGUAUGCUGAAAGUUAUAGGAUCCAGACCUAUGCAGAAUAUGUUGAGAAAAAACAUGAAGAGAAACAGGCAAAAAGAAAGUGGACAGAAGAUAGUUGGAAGGAGAUGGAGAGAAAGCGGUUAAAAACGCAAUACACAGCAUACAUUCCCGAGAGUCGGUACUACUGUGGUAACAGUUUUACAGCUACCAGCACAAUGGGAAAAAGAAGUAUGAGUCCUAUUCAAGAGGAAACUGGCUCUGAUGAUAUGGAAGAGAGAGAAAUCGAAGAAACAGAGCUUGAUGAAACAGAUUGCUAUGCAGAGUCUGUUCCAGAGGGAAGGAAGAGAGCCAAAAAGUUCAAAAAAGUCAAGAAAGAGCAAGAUCCAACAGCUUGAGGACCCUUGCUCUGCCUGAGAAAGGGACUAAGAUUUUGAGGCAGCAGCAGAAUGGGAAGUGCCUUCUUAUCAUCCGCUUUUUUAUCUGCCAGAGAAAGGGGAUCAGACCCUGAAAGGAAGCAUCACAAGUGGUUCCACAGCACUCUUUGAAGUUCCUGACACGUGGUAGCCAACAUCUGUAUUAAUAAAAAGUGAAGCUGAUUCAAAGCAAUUGCAAGAGUAUACCACUUGGAAGCCAUACUUUAUUUAAAUAAAAAGUGGUGUUGAAAAAUAAGUAUGUCUCCUGAAAAUCAGUUUAAUUUUUUUAAACUGUCUACUGAACAAUCACUGUCAGUUUUACUCGUGUAUUAACUAGUUUACAAUUCUGUCUGUUGAUCAUGUGAAAUCUUUGCUGUCGUAAACAAUGUUAGAUUUAAGAAGCAAGACUAAACAUGUUUUGGUCACCUGUUAUGGCAUGUUGGCUAUGAAAUGUACAAAAAGAAUCAGCACUAUUAAGAAUUUUGUUAGGCUGUUUCCUGUGCUUGAGGGGAGUUAUCACACAAGUCUUCUCAUCUUCAGAUGUUCGGGCAAUAUCAGUAGUCCUGAACAGAUAAACCUCAGUAUCGGUUACUGCUUUCUACCAGUUACCCUGGAAACCUUACAGUGUUGUCCUUUUUCCUCAGUAGGAAGACUUCAGCCAGUAUCUGUCUGGAAACUAAUCCUACACAUAUAUAUCCUUUUGUCCUCUUGGAAAAAUUUAACUUAUACUUUCCUUAAAAAAAAAAAAGAAAGAAGAAAAAAGAAAGAAAUUAAUGUUGGGAGGAGGUGGGUUUUCUUUUCUGUUUUCACUCAAGUCUUGAUCUGGUUUUCCAUGGUUUGUGUUUUUUUGUAAAAAUGUUUUUGAAACCUGUGACAAACCUGCAAACUGUACCAGCCCUUUAUUCAUUUACAAAAAAUCUGCUUUGGUAGAUUUCAGAAACUUUGAUAUUUAACAUUUUUGUAUCAUGGAAAUAAAAAUGAAAAAUGUAUUUCCAUAAAAUGAAAAUAAAAAACAUUUUCUUAGGA
Chelonia mydas (Green sea turtle) is the source of this 3106-nucleotide RNA transcript. It is a transcript of the gene named poly(A)-specific ribonuclease, with no coding region annotated. The record is from RefSeq and is a predicted model, not a curated record. NCBI's taxonomy places the organism in Eukaryota, Metazoa, Chordata, Testudines, Cheloniidae. The transcript is spliced from 26 exons.